AAGACUAUCCUUUCAGGGAUCAUUUCUAUAGUUCAGUCCUAGAGAAGGUUCUCUGAAUGUGUAGGGCAUGGAAAACCACAAGGAGGAGGCACAGUAUUCUCCCGAGCGUGGAGUUGGCUCUAGGUGUUGCUUUCUUGUAACUGCCUGCGGCCAGGCAGCCAUUGAUUGCUCUCUCUCACUUUGGGGGAAUAAGAGGGAGAGAAUGCAGUCUGAGUGGU
Molecule: small nucleolar RNA, 218 nt
Filed under: Dasypus novemcinctus (nine-banded armadillo)
Lineage: Eukaryota; Metazoa; Chordata; Mammalia; Cingulata; Dasypodidae
Description: Small nucleolar RNA U3 (ENSDNOG00000045525.1)
Rfam family: Small nucleolar RNA U3
About the family: Small nucleolar RNAs (snoRNAs) are involved in the processing and modification of rRNA in the nucleolus. There are two main classes of snoRNAs: the box C/D class, and the box H/ACA class.
Source: RNAcentral